Molecule: long non-coding RNA, 334 nt
Filed under: Cyanistes caeruleus (blue tit)
Lineage: Eukaryota; Metazoa; Chordata; Aves; Passeriformes; Paridae
Description: lncRNA (ENSCCEG00000003400.1)
Source: RNAcentral
CAGAAAGAUGAUUUUUCUGGAUAAGGAGAAACUGUAGAAAUUAUUCUUGUUGUCUGAAAAUAACAUCAAUUUGAAAUGAUAAAGAUUGCUGUCACCAUCACAUGUGAGAGUAAUUUGAUUGCACUAAAUAAACAAAACACAGCUCAUCAGCCUAAUCAAUGUAGCCUCCUACUGAAGAUUCUAGCCAGGAAUGGGAUGGCAACUCAACCAGAAUAAAUAAGAAAGAGCAAGACAGCCUGUCAUUGCCUAAUGAAGCUGAGACAUUAAAGAUUCAGCAGGAAAUUCUGGUGUUAUGUGUUCCUGAGGGGAAAAUAAAGCAACCUGACAAGUAGCA